This 256-nucleotide ribosomal RNA is filed under the name uncultured prokaryote. Its description in RNAcentral is "partial 16S ribosomal RNA". It matches the Rfam family "Bacterial small subunit ribosomal RNA", at positions 526 to 780 of the family's 1533-position model. The record is from RNAcentral.
CGUAAGUUGCGAGCGUUGUUCAGAAUUAUUGGGCGUAAAGAGCGCGCAGGUGGUUGAUUAAGUCUGAUGUGAAAGCCCACGGCUUAACCGUGGAGGGUCAUUGGAAACUGGUCGACUUGAGUGCAGAAGAGGGAAGUGGAAUUCCAUGUGUAGCGGUGAAAUGCGUAGAGAUAUGGAGGAACACCAGUGGCGAAGGCGGCUUCCUGGUCUGUAACUGACACUGAGGCGCGAAAGCGUGGAGAGCAAACAGGGAUUA